Chinchilla lanigera (long-tailed chinchilla) is the source of this 6277-nucleotide long non-coding RNA. RefSeq lists it as uncharacterized. The transcript is spliced from 3 exons. The record is from RefSeq and is a predicted model, not a curated record. NCBI's taxonomy places the organism in Eukaryota, Metazoa, Chordata, Mammalia, Rodentia, Chinchillidae.
UCACAGGUCCUGCAACGAACAGGGAGGCCACUGGGAGGCGCCCGCUGCACAGAGUUUCCAUUGUCCCGGCUGCGUCUGCACCAGGGAGGCCAGCAGGCGAGCGCUGACAUCUCCCUCGAGCUGGGAGCAGGUAUGAGAAGGGAAGAGCUGAGUCACACCGGGCACGCGGUGAAGCACAAGUUCCAGAGAACCGGUCCCAGCGCUGUGCCUGCUGCCAACACAACUUCCUUUCAGAAAAACAGCCCUAUUCGGGGUUUUCAAUGAAUGUUAUUUUUUAAAUUAUCUUCCCACUUUUGUUUGUAUUCAUCCCUACUUUGUUUUGGUUUUAUAAGACCUUAAAUAGGAAGUACAAGGAAUGCCUGGUUAGCUGUGCCUGCAGGCACGGUUUGCACACCCUUGGACGGUGUUUCUCAGAAAGCACGGCCUACCGGAAAAUCAUCAGCCUGGAAAACAGAGCUCAAAUGUGCCAGCCGCAGUCAGCCUAUCCAGGCCUUACCUGCCUUAGCCAGCAGCCCCCGAGCAAGAGAACAGUGAGGUGUAAUCAGCAGGAUGCAGGCCAUCACCAUGUGGGACUAAACCAAAACUUCAGGAGUCUCCAAGAAAACCUGACAUAAAUAAGUAAACGCAGGGCCGGGGACAUAGUUCAGCGGCACAAGCGCCUGCCUGGAAGCACAAGGUCCCGAGUUUGAUUCCCGGUACGAAAAAAAUAAAUAAAUAAGUAAGUAAGUAAACACAAGAUGAAUGAGGCGUUCGCCUGCAGGUCAGGACCAGCUAUGAAUGAUCCAAACACGCUCACAAGACUUGUCAAAGAUCUCCCACCUGCAAGACCAAGGUGAGAAAGUUGGAAUCUGGGCUCCUGGGCUAUUGAGAGUGGGGGAGGGAAGCAGUGACACCUAAGUGAGGGGUCACAGGGCAGGCACGUCAAGGCGGGGGCCCGGCUUGCAGGACAGAAUCAAGAUCCAAUGAGAUGAGGGGCUGGGGAUUUAGCUCAGUGGCACAGCGCCUGCCUGGCAAGCGCAAGGUUGUGAGUUCGAUUCCCGUUACCGGAGAAAAACAAAAACAAAAAAAAAGAUCCAGUGAGAUGGCCUGGACUCCUGCUUAGGCUCUUUCCCUAAUAAAUACUCAUAAAUUUUAAAAGGAAAUUUAGGUAGAAAGAAAAAAAUAAGGUCCUUGGGCUGCAAGUGUCAGCUGCUUAAACAAAAGCCCUGGAAGGUUCUGGGUUAAUUCUUGAUGAUGUCGUGGAGGACCCAACUUCUUGCCAUCUUUGGGUUCCCCACUCUGAAUGUGGAGUGUAAUCCACAGCGCCCCUAGGCAGCGCCUCCAGUGCCCUCCCGGCACCCGCAGCGCCCCCGCGUGGACAAUCCUGACCACACAGCUCUGUGCUGGCCCUGCAUAGGCGGAAGAGCAGCCCUGAAAUAAAAUGUGUGAAACCCUUGCAGCAAGGAAGUGGGGUUGACUGCUCUGUGGGUUUAGCGGAAUUUUCUGGGAAAAGCAUCCGGAGAAUCGGACACCUUUGGCAGGGGAACCGUCUGACGUGUCAAGGGCCUUGGAUCUUAUCCAGUGGGUUCCAGGAAGCCUUUUAAAAAACCCUGAGCCUGGGCACAGUCAGAUGGAGGGCGGAAUGAGAUGAGAUUAGGCACAGGUGGCGGAAAGGUUCUCCUGCGUCUCUGAUUCCAAAGCUUGCACAGUAGGAGCCCCGAACGGGCGGGCGGCCGCAGAUCACUGGAGCAGCAGGAACGGCUGCUCCUGGACCCUGCAGCAGGAGCCCGGGCCCUCAGCCGGGCGCGGAGCUGACCCCGUGGCUAGGCAGACUCGGCUCCUAACUGGGGACGGGAUGGUGGAGCAGUCUGGAGGGUUCCGGGGCCAAGGUAGGAGGGGUAAGGCCACGGCAGUCAGAGAAUCACACAGUGGGAGAGUCUGCUCCAUAAUCCCCGUCGGAUCACCGUGUCCCAUUCAGACCCCACAGGCUCCUAUUAACCCAUUUUUUGUCUGUACAAUAUUCACCAGGGUGGGAAACCAAAGUACAUCUCUUGCACCUCUCAACUGGAGCCCAGGGAAACCCCUGGCAAGGACUUCUUGAGGACCUGUCCCUGCCUCAGAGAUAUGCUCGGGAGGUGGCCCAGGGUGCCCUCUGAGCCACUCCCCAUCAAAGAAACCACUGCACUGCAGGCUUAUCUUCAGAGAGCCAGUUUCCCAUCAUGCCUCUGGAAUGCUCAGACCUCUCCACUCGGGAAGCCACCUGUCCACUCGCCCUCGGCCACACCAGGGCCAGGUGCAGUCUGCUAGCCACCUCUGGACAUAUUCUCCAGGCAGGAACCACAUCAGAGCCAGGGUGACCCGCGGACUGAGAACCAGAGGAGGAAGGUGGGAAGGACGUUAGUCUGUAGCCAUCUAAUGGGGUCAGCCAUUUAACUUAUUAAAUUGACUUUAUAACAUCAGCUUCAGAAUACAGCACUUGCAAACUGCAUGAAGUGAUUCAGCUUCUGAAGGAAUCUCUCACACAGUCCCAUACGCCACAUCUUAAAGUUUUCAUGCUGUGAGUCUUCAGACUGGCAGACACAGAACAGGGGUGGGGAGUGAAGGUCCUAAGUUCUAAAUCAAUCAGAAGGGAAGCAAAUCAAACAGGGAUCUGAAUUUUAGCGGUAAGGAAUAGAAUCAUAAUUUCAGUAACAACUCCUGACCAGCAAGCUCCAGUUCAGGGCUGGGGUAAGGCUGGAGGCCAUCAGAGCAGAGGGAGCCUGGGGGCCUCAAGGCAGUGGUCUUCAUCUCUGGCUCCUGCAUGUGUCUGGAACUUUGGGAUGAGGGUGGGGUAAGGGGUGAGUGAGAGCCGGCAAGACUGUUCGCGGAUGCUGUUUGUGAUCCACACCCACGGGCAGGCUCAUGAACUGGCUGUAUGUGUGCCUGGGAGCAGGGAGACUUCACACCAUGGGGACUCCAAAGAAGGUUGGCAUUCAGGAUUUUCAGGGUCCAGGUCCAACCAGGGGCCAUGGAAUGAGCCGGUCACCACCACCAUGGCCCCACAGCCCUGGUCAUUGGAGUCCAGCAGGGUGCUCACAACACCAGCAGCAAGGCCCUUGUUGAACUGCUCAGCACCUCACACUCCAGCACAUCCACUCCAGUGCCUCACACCUCAGCUCCUCACUUCUCAGCUCCUCACAAUCCAACUCAUCACACCUCAACACCUCACACCCACGUCCUCACACCCAGGUCCUCACACCCUAGUGCCUCACACCUCAGCUCCUCACACCACAGCUUCUCAGAUUCCAGCUGCUCACACCUCAGAUCCUGAAACCUCAGCAUGUCACACUUCAGUUCCUCACACAUCAGCUCCUCACAGCUCAGCUCCUCGCAACUCAACAUUUCACACUUCAGUGCCUCACAUCUCAGCUCCUCACACCUCAGCUCCUCGAAAGUCAGGUCCUCACACCCAGUUCCUCACACCUUGGCUCAUCACACCUUGGCUCCUCAUACCUCAACACCUCAAAUCUCAGCUCUUCACACCUCAGCACCUCACACCUAAAAUCCUCAUAUCCUAGCUCCUAACACCUCAGCUCCUCAUGCCUCAGCUCCUCACAGCCCAGCUCUUCACACCCCAGCUCCUCACACCCCAGCACCUAACACAUCUGCUCCUCGCCUCAGCUCCUCACACCUCAGCAAGUCAAACCUCAGCUCCUCACACCACAGCACCUUCCAGCCCAGCUGCUCACACUCCAGCUCUUCACACCUCAGCAGCUGACACAUCAGCUCCUCAUAUCCCAACUCCGCACACCUCUAUUCCUCACACCUCAGCUCCUCACAAGUCAGCACCUCACAACCCAGGUCCUCAGAGCUCAGUGCCUCAUACCUCAGGUUCUCACACCUCAACAUGUCACAUCCCAGCUCCUCACACCCAAGCUCCUUACAUCCCAGCUCCUCAUACCCCAGCUCCUCAAACCUCAGCUCCUCACCUCAGCUGCUCACACCUCAGCUCCUCACACCUCACCACCUCACACUUCGGCUCCUCACACCUCACCAUUUCACACUUCAGUGCCUCACAUCUCAGCUCCUCAGACCUUAGCUCCUCACACCCCAGCACCUCACACCUUAGCUCUUCAUCUCAGCCCUUCACACCUCAACUCCUAACACAGCUCCUAGCACCUCAACUCCUCACAUUCCAGCUCCUAACAAUUCAGCACCUCAUACCCCAGCAGCUUACACCUCAGCUCUUCACACUUCAGCUCCUCCCACCUCAGCUCAUGUCCCACCUCCAAACACCUCAACUCCUCACACUUUACCACUUCACACCCCAGCUCCUCAGACACUAGCACCUCACACCCCAGUAGCUCACACCUCAGCACACCUCAGCUCUUUACACUUCAACUCCUCAAAUCUCAGCACGUCACACCUCAGCUCCUCACACCUCAGCUCCUUAUAUCCCAGCUCCUCACAUCCCAGCUCCUAACACCUCAGCUGCUCACACCUCAGCACCUCACAGCCCUGCUCUUCACCUCAGGUCCUCACACCUCACUCCUCACACUUCAGCCCUGAAACCUGUGCUUCUUACAGCUCAGCAUGUCCCCCCUCAGCUCCGCACACCUCAGGUCCUCACAUCUCAGCCCCUCACACCCCAGUCCCUCACACCUCAGCUCCUCACAUGCCACUUCCUACCACCUCAGUUCAUCACACCUCAGCUGCUCACAUCCCAGCUCCUCACACCUCAGCUCCUCCCACCUGCACAACUCACAACCCAGGUCCUCACACCUUGGCUCUUCACAACCCCAGUCCUCACACCUCAGCUCCUCGCAGCCCGGAUCCUCACACCUCAACCUCUCAUACCUCAGCCCCUCACACCUCACCUCCUCACACCUUAGUUCCUCACACCCUAGCUCCUCACACCUCAGCCCCUCAAACCUCAGCUUCUCACACCUCAGCUCCUCAUACCCCAGGUCUUCACACCUCAGCUCCUCAAACCUCAGCUCCUCAUACCUCAGUUCCUCAAAUCCCAACUCCUAACACCUCAGCUCCUCCCACAUCAGCUCCUCACACUUUAACACCUCUCACCUCAGCCCCUCAAACCUCAGCUCCUCACACCUCAGCACCUCUCACCUCAGCUCCUCACUCCUCAACACCUCACACCUCAGCUCCUUACCCCUUAGCUCCUUAUUCCGGCUCCUCUCACUCCUUCCCCAGCUUCUCCCCUGUCCUUCCCUCCUCACCCACCCUCUUCCAUUCAUCUUUUCACAGAGUUCCUCACUCCUCAAGCUCCUGCAUCAGGGUACCUGCUUUCUCCCGCCUGUGUCCUCAUCCCUCUUAUAUUUUGGGGGUCACUGUAUUGCCUGGACGGUCUCUCCUCUACAUUGUCCUGCCGCCAGAAGCAAGAAGUUUGGAAACAGUGUGUUGGAUGGGAAGGGAGGCCUGUCUUGGGAGUAGUGUUUGUGUCCCAUUUUCUCUGGGUGUGGAGGCAAAUCAGACACUUCCAGCACAGUAAGGGUUAAUGUCCUCCACAGACCACAGCAGGGUGGGUGGGGGCUGGAGGCCCAGGGGAAGGCAGGCUGUCAGGGUCUGUUUGCUUGAGAAUUGACAGGCUUUAGACAAAACUCACCCAAGCAGAAGCAGCAGCCAGGCAUGAUGAACUUGACCCAGUAAAAAAGUCUUGGACGUUAAACCCUAAGUGCUUGCUUUGUUUGUGAGUGCAGUUUUGGUCUUGCACCAGACUCUCAACUCCAGGGACACAGAGACUGUGCUUAUCUUGUGUACCAUGCGGCUAGUGUGGAAAAAGAAUUCCGGAAAUGUUUGUUGAAUAAAAAGAGUAAGUGUACAUUGCUUGUCAACACCUCUGACCCCCAUCCCAGGCAAAGACAAGGCGGAGUGUCCACGUGGGUGUUCUGGUUCUGUUCUGCAAGACUCUGCACCGGCGGGUCUGGGAGCCCCUUGCGAGAAAUGUGAGAGAGAGAGAGAGAGAAAUCCUCCCCACCCUGUAAUACUUUCUUGCCCAGGGCAGACCCGGGUUCCAGCUCCUCAAACCCAUGCCCAGCUGCAUGUGGUCCUGGGUUGGAGCAGAAUCCUGACAGCGAGAAAACACAGCCUAGUGACUCAGGGGUGUUGAUUCCCCUGUGGUCAGGGGCUGGCCUUGGUAUCUGGAAAGCAAACAGUAGCUCUCACACAAGACAAAGCUGCUCAAAAAUCUAAACCUUAGCCAGAUGCCGUGUUGCACAUUUGUAACUCUAGCUACUUGGGAGACUGAGAUAAGAGGAUCACAACUUCAAGGCCAACCUGGGCAACUUGGUGAGACCUUAUC